This 450-nucleotide ribosomal RNA is filed under the name uncultured bacterium. RNAcentral describes it as "bacterial SSU rRNA". It matches the Rfam family "Bacterial small subunit ribosomal RNA", at positions 354 to 796 of the family's 1533-position model. The record is from RNAcentral.
GUGGGGAAUUUUGGACAAUGGGCGCAAGCCUGAUCCAGCAAUGCCGCGUGCAGGAAGAAGGCCUUCGGGUUGUAAACUGCUUUUGUACGGAACGAAACGGUCUGGGUUAAUACCCUGGGCUAAUGACGGUACCGUAAGAAUAAGCACCGGCUAACUACGUGCCAGCAGCCGCGGUAAUACGUAGGGUGCAAGCGUUAAUCGGAAUUACUGGGCGUAAAGCGUGCGCAGGCGGUUUUGUAAGACAGGCGUGAAAUCCCCGGGCUCAACCUGGGAAUUGCGCUUGUGACUGCAAGGCUGGAGUGCGGCAGAGGGGGAUGGAAUUCCGCGUGUAGCAGUGAAAUGCGUAGAUAUGCGGAGGAACACCGAUGGCGAAGGCAAUCCCCUGGGCCUGCACUGACGCUCAUGCACGAAAGCGUGGGGAGCAAACAGGAUUAGAAACCCGGGUAGUCC